Molecule: ribosomal RNA, 532 nt
Filed under: uncultured Ignatzschineria sp.
Lineage: Bacteria; Pseudomonadati; Pseudomonadota; Gammaproteobacteria; Cardiobacteriales; Ignatzschineriaceae
Description: bacterial SSU rRNA
Rfam family: Bacterial small subunit ribosomal RNA
Source: RNAcentral
AUUGAACGCUGGCGGUAUGCUUAACACAUGCAAGUCGAACGGUAACACGAGGGAGUUUACUCUUUUGGUGACGAGUGGCGGACGGGUGAGUAAUAUAUAGGAACUUGCCCCAUAGUCUAGGAUAAGCUCUCGAAAGAGAGUCUAAUACUGGAUGUGGACUACGGUUUAAAGCAGGGGAUCUUCGGACCUUGCGCUAUGGGAUGGGCCUAUACAAGAUUAGCUAGUUGGUGAGGUAAGGGCUCACCAAGGCGACGAUCUUUAGCUGGUUUGAGAGGAUGAUCAGCCACACUGGGACUGAGACACGGCCCAGACUCCUACGGGAGGCAGCAGUGGGGAAUAUUGGACAAUGGGGGCAACCCUGAUCCAGCAAUACCGCGUGUGUGAAGAAGGCCCUAGGGUUGUAACGAACGACUUUACGUUUAGGGUAGGGAAGUAAGGUAAGUUUAAUUUACGUUUAACGUUAACCGUAACCGUUAAGUAAGUUACUUUCGUAGUUAGUUUAACCGUUUAAAACCGUAAAAGUAAAGUAACG